UCAAUGGGAAGGUAGAUUUGUUACAAAAUUAGAUUGAAAUUAUAAUAUGUUUAUAGUUCAUGUUUUUUCUUUACAUAGAAUC
Molecule: non-coding RNA, 82 nt
Filed under: Thalassionema frauenfeldii
Lineage: Eukaryota; Bacillariophyta; Fragilariophyceae; Thalassionematales; Thalassionemataceae
Source: RNAcentral